Molecule: transfer RNA, 73 nt
Filed under: Candidatus Sericytochromatia bacterium
Lineage: Bacteria; Bacillati; Candidatus Sericytochromatia
Description: tRNA-Trp
Rfam family: tRNA
About the family: Transfer RNA (tRNA) molecules are approximately 80 nucleotides in length. Their secondary structure includes four short double-helical elements and three loops (D, anti-codon, and T loops). Further hydrogen bonds mediate the characteristic L-shaped molecular structure. tRNAs have two regions of fundamental functional importance: the anti-codon, which is responsible for specific mRNA codon recognition, and the 3' end, to which the tRNAs corresponding amino acid is attached (by aminoacyl-tRNA synthetases). tRNAs cope with the degeneracy of the genetic code in two manners: having more than one tRNA (with a specific anti-codon) for a particular amino acid; and 'wobble' base-pairing, i.e. permitting non-standard base-pairing at the 3rd anti-codon position.
Source: RNAcentral
GCGCCUUUAGUUCAGCUGGCAGAACAUCGGUCUCCAAAGCCGAGUGUCGAAGGUUCGAUUCCUUCAGGGCGCG